AUCUAUGGCGGACCGUGCGAGGGGGGCUUUCGCCCACCGGUAUUGGUCUGCGAGCCGGUAUUCCACACCUCGUACGGUCCGCCACCCUC
RNAcentral lists this non-coding RNA (89 nucleotides) under Metapseudomonas resinovorans NBRC 106553. Lineage: Bacteria; Pseudomonadati; Pseudomonadota; Gammaproteobacteria; Pseudomonadales; Pseudomonadaceae. The record is from RNAcentral.